UGCAAGUCGAACGAACUCUGGUAUUGAUUGGUGCUUGCAUCAUGAUUUACAUUUGAGUGAGUGGCGAACUGGUGAGUAACACGUGGGAAACCUGCCCAGAAGCGGGGGAUAACACCUGGAAACAGAUGCUAAUACCGCAUAACAACUUGGACCGCAUGGUCCGAGUUUGAAAGAUGGCUUCGGCUAUCACUUUUGGAUGGUCCCGCGGCGUAUUAGCUAGAUGGUGGGGUAACGGCUCACCAUGGCAAUGAUACGUAGCCGACCUGAGAGGGUAAUCGGCCACAUUGGGACUGAGACACGGCCCAAACUCCUACGGGAGGCAGCAGUAGGGAAUCUUCCACAAUGGACGAAAGUCUGAUGGAGCAACGCCGCGUGAGUGAAGAAGGGUUUCGGCUCGUAAAACUCUGUUGUUAAAGAAGAACAUAUCUGAGAGUAACUGUUCAGGUAUUGACGGUAUUUAACCAGAAAGCCACGGCUAACUACGUGCCAGCAGCCGCGGUAAUACGUAGGUGGCAAGCGUUGUCCGGAUUUAUUGGGCGUAAAGCGAGCGCAGGCGGUUUUUUAAGUCUGAUGUGAAAGCCUUCGGCUCAACCGAAGAAGUGCAUCGGAAACUGGGAAACUUGAGUGCAGAAGAGGACAGUGGAACUCCAUGUGUAGCGGUGAAAUGCGUAGAUAUAUGGAAGAACACCAGUGGCGAAGGCGGCUGUCUGGUCUGUAACUGACGCUGAGGCUCGAAAGUAUGGGUAGCAAACAGGAUUAGAUACCCUGGUAGUCCAUACCGUAAACGAUGAAUGCUAAGUGUUGGAGGGUUUCCGCCCUUCAGUGCUGCAGCUAACGCAUUAAGCAUUCCGCCUGGGGAGUACGGCCGCAAGGCUGAAACUCAAAGGAAUUGACGGGGGCCCGCACAAGCGGUGGAGCAUGUGGUUUAAUUCGAAGCUACGCGAAGAACCUUACCAGGUCUUGACAUACUAUGCAAAUCUAAGAGAUUAGACGUUCCCUUCGGGGACAUGGAUACAGGUGGUGCAUGGUUGUCGUCAGCUCGUGUCGUGAGAUGUUGGGUUAAGUCCCGCAACGAGCGCAACCCUUAUUAUCAGUUGCCAGCAUUAAGUUGGGCACUCUGGUGAGACUGCCGGUGACAAACCGGAGGAAGGUGGGGAUGACGUCAAAUCAUCAUGCCCCUUAUGACCUGGGCUACACACGUGCUACAAUGGAUGGUACAACGAGUUGCGAACUCGCGAGAGUAAGCUAAUCUCUUAAAGCCAUUCUCAGUUCGGAUUGUAGGCUGCAACUCGCCUACAUGAAGUCGGAAUCGCUAGUAAUCGCGGAUCAGCAUGCCGCGGUGAAUACGUUCCCGGGCCUUGUACACACCGCCCGUCACACCAUGAGAGUUUGUAACACCCAAAGUCGGUGGGGUAACCUUUUAGGAACCAGCCGCCUAAGG
This 1441-nucleotide ribosomal RNA is filed under the name Lactiplantibacillus pentosus. RNAcentral's name for it is "bacterial SSU rRNA". It matches the Rfam family "Bacterial small subunit ribosomal RNA". RNAcentral also lists the same sequence under 1 other name. The record is from RNAcentral. Lineage: Bacteria; Bacillati; Bacillota; Bacilli; Lactobacillales; Lactobacillaceae.